This 123-nucleotide ribosomal RNA is filed under the name Nitrospira sp. Lineage: Bacteria; Pseudomonadati; Nitrospirota; Nitrospiria; Nitrospirales; Nitrospiraceae. The record is from RNAcentral.
UUUCCCGGUGGCCUUGCCGGAGGGGUCACACCCGUUCCCAUACCGAACACGGAAGUUAAGCCCUCCAAGGCCGAUGAUACUGCUGCUGUGAGGCAGUGGGACAGUAGGACGCUGCCGGGUUAC